RNAcentral lists this ribosomal RNA (298 nucleotides) under uncultured bacterium. Its description in RNAcentral is "partial 16S ribosomal RNA". It matches the Rfam family "Bacterial small subunit ribosomal RNA", at positions 334 to 649 of the family's 1533-position model. The record is from RNAcentral.
AUUUCCUACGGGAGGCAGCAGUAGGGAAUAUUGCUCAAUGGGGGAAACCCUGAAGCAGCAACGCCGCGUGGAGGAUGAAGGUUUUCGGAUUGUAAACUCCUUUUGUUAGAGAAGAUAAUGACGGUAUCUAACGAAUAAGCACCGGCUAACUCCGUGCCAGCAGCCGCGGUAAUACGGAGGGUGCAAGCGUUACUCGGAAUCACUGGGCGUAAAGAGCGCGUAGGCGGGAUAGCAAGUCAGAUGUGAAAUCCCGCGGCUCAACCGCGGAACUGCAUUUGAAACUGUCAGUCUUGAGUAC